UGGCGGGGGGAGGGGGCCGCCGCAGCCCGCCCCGGCCCGCCGCCCUCGGUCGCCUCGCCGCCCUCCCCUCGUAUCGCCCCCAGCUCUGCCCUCCCGUGAAGCCCCGGCCCUGGGAGUCCCGUCGUUUCUCCCCGCGGCGGCAGGGGCGCUGGCGGGGGGAGCCCGGCGUUUCCAGCCUUGCUGGAGCUCGGCUGCGCCGGUCCCGGGAGGCGUAAAACGUUGUGGCCGUUCUGAGCCAAAGCGGCUUGCUGAGGGAGGAGAGGCCCUGCUUGCCCCAUGCGCCCGGCGAGAGGGCAGCCACCUGCCGCCCUGGGGACCGGGAGCAGUGGCCCAGGAGGUUGUGGUUGGUACAACAUUUGGAAAUGCUAGACUGUGAACUUGCAAAUGAUGAGAGCUUGCAGAACUCUUAUGUGGAAACUGGAUUACAAAGUCAUAAAAUUCCUCACUUUCUGGAUGAAAGUACUUUGUUCCGGUGUAGUAGACCUUGCUGGGAAGUACAGGAAUUGGAACCUAGCUCCAUACUAACCGCACCGAUUCUGCAGUGGGAAACUCCUGGUUCUUAAUAAUUAUUGGGACACCUGACUUUGGACUUAUAUCUAAAACUAUUUGAAAUUUAACUGUCUUUAAUUGCCACUUUAAGUGAUAAUCAGAUCAACAUAUCUUGUAUAUUUAGCAAGUCUAGGUUUUUGGAAGCUGCCUGAGAUUUGACCUUGUGUAAAUGCUUUUUGAAUUACUCAGAAUCAUUUUACAAAUCUAAUUAGCAUGUGAUAAAAUCACUUCAGCUCAUCUCAUUUGACACUAGUCCAUUAAAAUAGCCCAUGAAGUUUUAUUUGUUUAUUAUUCCAGAUUACUGUCAUUUUUAUAUGAAUAAAACUUCAAAAAGAGAAUCA
This 890-nucleotide long non-coding RNA is filed under the name Apteryx owenii (little spotted kiwi). Its description in RNAcentral is "lncRNA (ENSAOWG00000006527.1)". The record is from RNAcentral. Lineage: Eukaryota; Metazoa; Chordata; Aves; Apterygiformes; Apterygidae.